UUUUGUGUGCCGCAGCUGCGUCGACGAGAGCGAGCUACUCACCGACCAAGAAGAAAGUAGCAGUAGUAGAAGAAUCCAAAGCCAAUUCCACUCUCUCUGCAAGGUGCAAGGGGAAGCAAGCAAGCAAGCAGGGUUGAAGAGCUCGGGUUGCUAGAUACCGCGAUGGCUAUGGCGAUGGCACUCUCGUGCUGCGCUUUGUCCCCUGUGGUGAUGGUGGCGUCGUCGCAUCGCCUCAGCUUCUCGCUGUCUCUCUCUCGCUUCAAACCUUCUUCUUCUGUGUCCCCUUCUCGCCAUGCUCACCGUUCCUUCACGGGGAUUCGUGCCUCCAAUUCUUCAUCCUCCUCUCCUCCUUCCUCCCCGGAGGUUUACCGCGGCGUUUAUGGGCCCUGGUCUGUGGAUUCUGCCGACGUUCGCGAGGUGGUGCUGUACAGAGCAGGCUUAGUGACAGCGGCCACAACAUUCGUAGCAGCUGCGUCUACUGCACUACUUCCCGACGACAACGCUGUGAAAAGUUUGAUACAAAGCUUGUACGAUCCAUUGUUCGUAAUUGGGGCGGGGGGGCUUGGUGCGUCGCUCUUCCUGAUUCAUAUCUAUGUUACCCCUAUCAAGCGAACACUUCAAGCGUUAUGGGCAGUUGGAGUGUUGGGCUCUCUGGGUAUUGCAGUCAACUUUGCUGCACCUGUGAAUCAAGGAUUAGUGGAAUUUGUGCUGAAUAAUCCUCCAGCGAUAUGGGCUGUUGGGCCACUCUUUGCAUCCUUGACUGGACUUGUUUUUAAGGAAGGGCUUUGUUAUGGCAAGUUAGAGGCGGCUGCUCUGUUCUUUGUCAUCCCUUCGGUGCUGCUCGGUCGCCUUUCAGGAUUGAUGGAUGACGAGGUACAGCUGGGUCUUCUAGCGGCAUGGAUGGCUCUCUUCGCAGUCUUCGCAUCUCGCAAGUUCACUCAACCCAUCAAGGACGACAUUGGAGACAAGUCUGUUUUCAUGUUCAAUGCAUUGCCAGAGGAUGCAAAGCAAGCUUUGCUGCAGCAGUUACAAGAACAGCAGGCUCCACAACAAGAGGGAAGAGUUGACUAAGGGUCUAUGGCCAUUCAGGUGCUUUUGUUUUGAGUGUUAAGACUCGAGAGCAACGUUUGUUGGGAGAACACUCUAGCAAUUGGAGACGACGUUAGCAAUGGUUUGGGUUGAAUGAAGGUCGCUAGGUGAUGAGUAGGGGCAGCUCAACUUCAAAAUGAAGUGAAAGAAUAGAUGUUCAUGUAAGCUGUAGCAAAAUGUAAAUUAAUGACUUUGUGCAGGUUCAUUAGUGGUGAAAUGUUUGAAUUCAACAAUAUUAACCGAUGUGGCUAAUACUGGCGUAAGUGUUGCUGCAGCCUUAGUAUUGAACAAAUCCCAAAAACACAAGUAUAAUUGUGAUAACAUGUGAUAUUCAAAGUCGAAAAUGAUAAUGUAGAAGUAUUGUUUUUGGUUCUUGAUGUCAA
RNA transcript from Physcomitrium patens, 1472 nucleotides. RefSeq lists it as uncharacterized. The record is from RefSeq and is a predicted model, not a curated record. Lineage: Eukaryota; Viridiplantae; Streptophyta; Bryopsida; Funariales; Funariaceae.